AUGGAAUCCACUACAGCCCUUAAAACCAUUACUCUUGGUCAACAGAGUUGUAAGGUAUUUGGACGACUCUUACGCCUAUGGAGUGCAAUAAACAUGAAAUCCAAGUUUGCAGAUCCUCUCAUCAGCAUUGAUGGUGUCCUUUUAGAUGAAGAUGGCAAUAUGGCGCAGAUCAGUGUACCCAAAAAAAUUCAAAGACAAUUCCGCCCCUUACUAACAGAAGGACAUGUCUACAUCUUUAAUGAUAUUGCAGCUGUUGAUAUAAAAAACAAAACCCAUAUAUAUCACCACCAAAACUAUAUGUUGCAAUUCAAGCACAGCACUAAGGUUCACCGACUUGAAACCAGAGGAACAAAUAUACCAAAGUUUUCCUUCAAUUUUUGUCCAUUUGAUAAUCUACCAGAAAAAAGAUACUUUUGCAAAACCACUUCAAGGUAA
This 435-nucleotide ribosomal RNA is filed under the name Triticum aestivum (bread wheat). RNAcentral's name for it is "partial small subunit ribosomal RNA". The record is from RNAcentral. Lineage: Eukaryota; Viridiplantae; Streptophyta; Magnoliopsida; Poales; Poaceae.